CGGUAAUUCCAGCUCCAAUAGCGUAUACUAAAGUUGUUGCAGUUAAAAAGCUCGUAGUUGGAUUUCUGCGGGGACGGAGCGGCCGGACGUAACUUGCGUCUCGAGCUAGCGCUUUCCCCGCAUCCUGCCGCGAACCGUGCUACCAUUAGUUUGGUGGCGCUGGGGAUCGGCUCGAUUACUUUGAGAAAAAUAGAGUGUUCAAAGCAGGCCACACGCCUUGAAUAAGUUAGCAUGGAAUAAUGACUAAGGACUUUGGUUCUUUUCGACAGGUGAGCUCAGCUUUUUGAGUAUUGUUUGGAGUAUUUAUUUGUUCUCAGAAUAAACUAAGUACAAUAAACGGCCGCUGAUUUCGUUGGUGUUCGGGACUGAAGUAAUGAUUGAUAGGGACAGUUGGGGCGGUCCGUAUUCCAAAGCGAGAGGUGAAAUUCUUAGACCUUCGGAAGACGAACAGCUGCGAAAGCGUUCCGCAAGGAUGUUCCCUUUGAUCAAGAACGAAAGUUGGGGGAUCGAAGACGAUCAGAUACCGUCGUAGUCUCAACUAUAAACUAUACCAGCUAGGGAUCGGCCAACGUUUAAUUAUUCGACUUGGUCGGCACCUUAUGAGAAAUCAAAGCAUCUGGGUUCCGGGGGGAGUAUGGUCGCAAGGCUGAAACUUAAAGGAAUUGACGGAAGGGCACCACCAGCCGUGGAGCCUGUGGCUUAAUUUGACUCAACACGGGAAAACUUACCAGGUCCAGACAUAGGAAGGAUUGACAGAUUGAUAGCUCUUUCUUGAUUCUGUGGGUGGUGGUGCAUGGCCGUUUUUAGUCGGUGAAGUGAUUUGUCUGCUUAAUUGCGUUAACGGACGAGACCCCAGCCUGCUAAAUAGCGCGGCCGAGCUUUGCUCGGUGCGAGCUUCUUAGAGGGACCAUGAUGCGCGAUAGCACAAGGAAGUUUGGGGCAACAACAGGUCUGUGAUGCCCUUAGAUGUUCUGGGCCGCACACGGGCUACACUGGCGCCUGCAACGAGCAUAUCAGCUGGCCCGAGAGGGUCUUGGCUAAUCUUUGGAACCGGCGCCGUGCUUGGGAUUGACCAUUGCAAUUGUUGGUCAUGCAACGAGGAAUGCCUUGUAAACGCGAGUCAUCAGCUCGCAUUGAAUACGUCCCUGCCCUUUGUACACACCGCCCGUCGCUCCUACCGAUGAAUGUUCCGAUGAAAUUUUCGGAGAGCGCCAGAGAACGGGGCUCUGUCUUGUAGAUCUGGAGGCUCAAAGUCACUUAAAUCUGAACAUUUCGAGGAAGGAGAAGUCGUAACAAGGUAGCCG
Molecule: ribosomal RNA, 1304 nt
Filed under: uncultured Rhizaria
Lineage: Eukaryota
Description: SSU rRNA
Rfam family: Eukaryotic small subunit ribosomal RNA
Source: RNAcentral